Molecule: non-coding RNA, 835 nt
Organism: Podarcis lilfordi (Lilford's wall lizard)
Lineage: Eukaryota; Metazoa; Chordata; Lepidosauria; Squamata; Lacertidae
Source: the annotation of a GenBank genome assembly
UGAAAGAGACAGCAGGUGGAGGCUGAUAAGGAAGGAGAAAGCUGUUGUUUCAGCAUAAACAACCUGGUAACUGCUAAGCAGCAGUAAUGGGAAGAUAAAUGCAAGAAUUCUUUUUUAAAUUCAAAAUUUUAUGGCACAAACAUUAUACAUAUAUCGAUAUCAUCUAUCUAUCUACACACAUACAUAUAUGUAUAUAUGCACACACACACUGCAGUAAAGGUAAACCUUAGAAGGAAUUGCAUCAUUAAGUAUGUAAACAAACUAAAAUAAUGCAAUAUGGAUGCAAUAUACUGAAUGCAAAAAUGAGUAUAAAUAUGUAUAACUCUAUAUAGUUCAGAUGUUAAAAGAAAUGCAGGAGCGCUUAACAAACUUGCUAAAACAUAUUGGAAUUUAUUCCAAAGCCAGCUGGUGAAAAAUUAGUGAAAUCUCGUGGGGUGGGAUUAUUGUUUUUUGCUAACUAGAGAAAAAACUCCAACUUGGACACAACUGAACUGUGUUCAAUGUUGAUUACUCCCUUGUCAUUGUGUUUAGGAUUGUAGCCUAAGGCUGUGAUCCUAGGCACAUUUACUUGGAAUUCAGUCCAACUGACUACAUUCUGAUCUGUGUUUCAGCCCAAGAAGAGCAAAUAAGGUUGACUUACUGAGAAAUGAGGACCAAACCAAAUUCUCUUCUGCCUCUAUUUCUCUAGGAAGCUCUUCUUGAUCUUCAUCAAGGAUGCCCAAAGUGCAAAAAAAUACCUGGAAGAAAUGGAACGGCACCUUCACAUUUUCCUCCUCUCAGUAUCUCUCAAGUAUAAAAUUAAACACUCAGAAGAGUCAGGCCAACCAUCCGAUAA